UCCCUUGUGGCUCAGCUGGUAGAGAAUCUGCCUGCAAGGCAGGAGACCUGGGUUCGAUCCCUGGGUUGGGAA
RNAcentral lists this transfer RNA (72 nucleotides) under Ovis aries (sheep). It matches the Rfam family "tRNA". Rfam says of the family: Transfer RNA (tRNA) molecules are approximately 80 nucleotides in length. The record is from Rfam by way of RNAcentral. Lineage: Eukaryota; Metazoa; Chordata; Mammalia; Artiodactyla; Bovidae.